RNAcentral lists this ribosomal RNA (510 nucleotides) under uncultured bacterium. Its description in RNAcentral is "partial 16S ribosomal RNA". It matches the Rfam family "Bacterial small subunit ribosomal RNA", at positions 28 to 507 of the family's 1533-position model. The record is from RNAcentral.
GACGAACGCUGGCGGCGUGCUUAACACAUGCAAGUCGAACGAAGAGCGAUGGAAGCUUGCUUCUAUCAAUCUUAGUGGCGAACGGGUGGGUAACGCGUAAUCAACCUGCCCUUCAGAGGGGGACAACAGUUGGAAACGACUGCUAAUACCGCAUACGAUCUAAUCUCGGCAUCGAGGAAAGAUGAAAGGUGGCCUCUAUUUAUAAGCUAUCACUGAAGGAGGGGAUUGCGUCUGAUUAGCUAGUUGGAGGGGUAACGGCCCACCAAGGCGAUGAUCAGUAGCCGAUCUGAGAGGAUGAACGGCCACAUUGGGACUGAGACACGGCCCAGACUCCUACGGGAGGCAGCAGUGGGGAAUCUUCCGCAAUGGACGAAAGUCUGACGGAGCAACGCCGCGUGAGUGAUGACGGCCUUCGGGUUGUAAAGCUCUGUUAAUCGGGACGAAAGGCCUUCUUGCGAACAGUUAGAAGGAUUGACGGUACCGGAAUAGAAAGCCACGGCUAACUACGUG